UAAGCGACUAAGCGUACACGGUGGAUGCCCUGGCAGUCAGAGGCGAUGAAGGACGUGCUAAUCUGCGAUAAGCGUCGGUAAGGUGAUAUGAACCGUUAUAACCGGCGAUUUCCGAAUGGGGAAACCCAGUGUGUUUCGACACACUAUCAUUAACUGAAUCCAUAGGUUAAUGAGGCGAACCGGGGGAACUGAAACAUCUAAGUACCCCGAGGAAAAGAAAUCAACCGAGAUUCCCCCAGUAGCGGCGAGCGAACGGGGAGCAGCCCAGAGCCUGAAUCAGUGUGUGUGUUAGUGGAAGCGUCUGGAAAGGCGCGCGAUACAGGGUGACAGCCCCGUACACAAAAAUGCACAUGCUGUGAGCUCGAUGAGUAGGGCGGGACACGUGGUAUCCUGUCUGAAUAUGGGGGGACCAUCCUCCAAGGCUAAAUACUCCUGACUGACCGAUAGUGAACCAGUACCGUGAGGGAAAGGCGAAAAGAACCCCGGCGAGGGGAGUGAAAAAGAACCUGAAACCGUGUACGUACAAGCAGUGGGAGCACGCUUAGGCGUGUGACUGCGUACCUUUUGUAUAAUGGGUCAGCGACUUAUAUUCUGUAGCAAGGUUAACCGAAUAGGGGAGCCGAAGGGAAACCGAGUCUUAACUGGGCGUUAAGUUGCAGGGUAUAGACCCGAAACCCGGUGAUCUAGCCAUGGGCAGGUUGAAGGUUGGGUAACACUAACUGGAGGACCGAACCGACUAAUGUUGAAAAAUUAGCGGAUGACUUGUGGCUGGGGGUGAAAGGCCAAUCAAACCGGGAGAUAGCUGGUUCUCCCCGAAAGCUAUUUAGGUAGCGCCUCGUGAAUUCAUCUCCGGGGGUAGAGCACUGUUUCGGCAAGGGGGUCAUCCCGACUUACCAACCCGAUGCAAACUGCGAAUACCGGAGAAUGUUAUCACGGGAGACACACGGCGGGUGCUAACGUCCGUCGUGAAGAGGGAAACAACCCAGACCGCCAGCUAAGGUCCCAAAGUCAUGGUUAAGUGGGAAACGAUGUGGGAAGGCCCAGACAGCCAGGAUGUUGGCUUAGAAGCAGCCAUCAUUUAAAGAAAGCGUAAUAGCUCACUGGUCGAGUCGGCCUGCGCGGAAGAUGUAACGGGGCUAAACCAUGCACCGAAGCUGCGGCAGCGACGCUGAUGCGUUGUUGGGUAGGGGAGCGUUCUGUAAGCCUGCGAAGGUGUGCUGUGAGGCAUGCUGGAGGUAUCAGAAGUGCGAAUGCUGACAUAAGUAACGAUAAAGCGGGUGAAAAGCCCGCUCGCCGGAAGACCAAGGGUUCCUGUCCAACGUUAAUCGGGGCAGGGUGAGUCGACCCCUAAGGCGAGGCCGAAAGGCGUAGUCGAUGGGAAACAGGUUAAUAUUCCUGUACUUGGUGUUACUGCGAAGGGGGGACGGAGAAGGCUAUGUUGGCCGGGCGACGGUUGUCCCGGUUUAAGCGUGUAGGCUGGUUUUCCAGGCAAAUCCGGAAAAUCAAGGCUGAGGCGUGAUGACGAGGCACUACGGUGCUGAAGCAACAAAUGCCCUGCUUCCAGGAAAAGCCUCUAAGCAUCAGGUAACAUCAAAUCGUACCCCAAACCGACACAGGUGGUCAGGUAGAGAAUACCAAGGCGCUUGAGAGAACUCGGGUGAAGGAACUAGGCAAAAUGGUGCCGUAACUUCGGGAGAAGGCACGCUGAUAUGUAGGUGAAGUCCCUCGCGGAUGGAGCUGAAAUCAGUCGAAGAUACCAGCUGGCUGCAACUGUUUAUUAAAAACACAGCACUGUGCAAACACGAAAGUGGACGUAUACGGUGUGACGCCUGCCCGGUGCCGGAAGGUUAAUUGAUGGGGUUAGCGCAAGCGAAGCUCUUGAUCGAAGCCCCGGUAAACGGCGGCCGUAACUAUAACGGUCCUAAGGUAGCGAAAUUCCUUGUCGGGUAAGUUCCGACCUGCACGAAUGGCGUAAUGAUGGCCAGGCUGUCUCCACCCGAGACUCAGUGAAAUUGAACUCGCUGUGAAGAUGCAGUGUACCCGCGGCAAGACGGAAAGACCCCGUGAACCUUUACUAUAGCUUGACACUGAACAUUGAGCCUUGAUGUGUAGGAUAGGUGGGAGGCUUUGAAGUGUGGACGCCAGUCUGCAUGGAGCCGACCUUGAAAUACCACCCUUUAAUGUUUGAUGUUCUAACGUUGACCCGUAAUCCGGGUUGCGGACAGUGUCUGGUGGGUAGUUUGACUGGGGCGGUCUCCUCCUAAAGAGUAACGGAGGAGCACGAAGGUUGGCUAAUCCUGGUCGGACAUCAGGAGGUUAGUGCAAUGGCAUAAGCCAGCUUGACUGCGAGCGUGACGGCGCGAGCAGGUGCGAAAGCAGGUCAUAGUGAUCCGGUGGUUCUGAAUGGAAGGGCCAUCGCUCAACGGAUAAAAGGUACUCCGGGGAUAACAGGCUGAUACCGCCCAAGAGUUCAUAUCGACGGCGGUGUUUGGCACCUCGAUGUCGGCUCAUCACAUCCUGGGGCUGAAGUAGGUCCCAAGGGUAUGGCUGUUCGCCAUUUAAAGUGGUACGCGAGCUGGGUUUAGAACGUCGUGAGACAGUUCGGUCCCUAUCUGCCGUGGGCGCUGGAGAACUGAGGGGGGCUGCUCCUAGUACGAGAGGACCGGAGUGGACGCAUCACUGGUGUUCGGGUUGUCAUGCCAAUGGCACUGCCCGGUAGCUAAAUGCGGAAGAGAUAAGUGCUGAAAGCAUCUAAGCACGAAACUUGCCCCGAGAUGAGUUCUCCCUGACCCUUUAAGGGUCCUGAAGGAACGUUGAAGACGACGACGUUGAUAGGCCGGGUGUGUAAGCGCAGCGAUGCGUUGAGCUAACCGGUACUAAUGAACCGUGAGGCUUAACCU
Molecule: ribosomal RNA, 2900 nt
Filed under: Escherichia coli 7-233-03_S1_C3
Lineage: Bacteria; Pseudomonadati; Pseudomonadota; Gammaproteobacteria; Enterobacterales; Enterobacteriaceae
Description: bacterial LSU rRNA
Rfam family: Bacterial large subunit ribosomal RNA
Source: RNAcentral